Molecule: ribosomal RNA, 347 nt
Filed under: uncultured bacterium
Lineage: Bacteria
Description: partial 16S ribosomal RNA
Rfam family: Bacterial small subunit ribosomal RNA
Source: RNAcentral
CCUACGGGAGACAGCAGUGGGGGAUAUUGCACAAUGGGGGGAACCCUGAUGCAGCGACGCCGCGUGGGUGAAGGAGGGUUUCGGCGCGUAAAGCCCUAUCGGCAGGGAAGAAGGAGGACGGUACCGGACGAAGAAGCCCCGGCGAACUACGUGCCAGCAGCCGCGGUAAGACGGCGGGGGCAAGCGUUAUCCGGAUGUACUGGGUGUAAAGGGGGCGCAGACGGGAGCGCAAGCCCGGAGUGCAAGCACGGGGCCCAACCCCGGGACUGCUCUUGAAACUGCGCGGCUGGAGUGCAGGAGGGGCAGGCGGAAUUCCUGGUGUAGCGGUGAAAUGCGUAGAUAUCAGG